Molecule: long non-coding RNA, 950 nt
Filed under: Physcomitrium patens
Lineage: Eukaryota; Viridiplantae; Streptophyta; Bryopsida; Funariales; Funariaceae
Description: long non-coding RNA (PPAT_LNC002339)
Source: RNAcentral
AUUUGAUUAGAGUUUGGUUAAGAUUUGUUUAGGAUUUGAUUAGGAUUUGGUUAGGAUUUAACUAGGAUUUAUUUUGAAUUUGAUUAAGAAUUUUUUAAGAUUUUAUUAAGAAUUUUUUAAGAUUUAAUUAAGAUUUAUUUAGGAUUUAUUUAGAAUUUAUUUAAGAUUUAUUUAGGAUUUGUUUAGAAUUUGGUUAGGAUUUUUUUAGGAUUUGAUUAGAAUUUGAUUAAGGUUUAUUUAGGAUUUGAUGAGGAUUUGAUUAGGAUUUGUUUAAAAUUUGAUUAAGAUUUAUUUAUAAUUUUUUUAGGAUUUAUUAAAGAUUUAUUUAGGAUUUGAUUAGGAUUUAUUUAAGAUUUAAUUAAGAUUUAUUUAGGAUUUAUUUAGGAUUUAUUUAGGAUUUGUUUAGAAUUUGAUUAGAAUUUGUUUAGGAUUUGAUUAGAAUUUUUUUAAGGUUAGUUAAGGAUUUGAUGAGGAUUUGGUUAGGAUUUGUUAGGAUUUGACUAGGAUUUAUUUAGGAUUUGAUUAGGAUUUGACUAGGAUUUAAUUCAGGUUUUUAUUUUAAUAUUUUAUUAAAGUUUUAUUUUAGUAUAUUUUUAAAUUUCUAUAUUAUUUCUUUAUGAUUCUUUAAAAAUUCUGUCAAAAUACUUUGUAUUUUUUACAUAAUUCUUUUGUAAUUUUGAUUGAAUUCGAUUGAUGUUUGAUUGUACUUGCUAAUCUUUAAUUAUAAUUUGUUUAAGAAUCUAUUAGAGUUAAUAAGACUUGUUAUUGCAAUUUUCCUUUUAUCUUCUACAACUAAGUGCCUAGUAUAUUUUCAAGUCAAAUGCCACGUAAUACGAUAUAUAUUUGGUGAACUCAAUGUAAAAAGCUUGAGGUAGAAGGUAUUUGGAAGCUUUUCUUGAUUUAUUCGAGUUAUGGAAAAGAAAGGCAAGAGGAUGGAAGGAGGAGUUUUU